AGUGGCGCACGGGUGAGUAACGCGUGGGUAAUCUGCCCCGGAAUCGGGGAUAACAUUGCGAAAGCGAUGCUAAUACCGGAUAACGACAUGUCGGCUCUGGUCGGCGUGUCCAAAGGUGGCCUCUGCAUGCAAGCCACUGUUUUGGGACGAGCCCGCGUACCAUUAGCUAGUUGGCGGGGUAACGGCCCACCAAGGCGACGAUGGUUAGCUGGUCUGAGAGGGUGAUCAGCCACACCGGAACUGGAACACGGUCCGGACUCCUACGGGAGGCAGCAGUGAGGAAUUUUGCGCAAUGGGGGAAACCCUGACGCAGCAACGCCGCGUGAGUGACGAAGGCUUUCGGGUUGUAAAGCUCUUUCGCCAGGGACGAUAAUGACGGUACCUGGAUAAGAAGCCCCGGCUAACUUCGUGCCAGCAGCCGCGGUAAUACGAAAGGGGCUAGCGUUGUUCGGAAUUACUGGGCGUAAAGCGCAUGCAGGCGG
RNAcentral lists this ribosomal RNA (482 nucleotides) under uncultured bacterium. RNAcentral's name for it is "bacterial SSU rRNA". It matches the Rfam family "Bacterial small subunit ribosomal RNA", at positions 94 to 578 of the family's 1533-position model. The record is from RNAcentral.